GGGGGUAUAGCUCAGCUGGGAGAGCGCUUGAAUGGCAUUCAAGAGGUCAGCGGUUCGAUCCCGCUUAUCUCCACCA
RNAcentral lists this transfer RNA (76 nucleotides) under Treponema sp. RNAcentral's name for it is "tRNA-Ala". It matches the Rfam family "tRNA". Rfam says of the family: Transfer RNA (tRNA) molecules are approximately 80 nucleotides in length. Their secondary structure includes four short double-helical elements and three loops (D, anti-codon, and T loops). The record is from RNAcentral. RNAcentral also lists the same sequence under 416 other names. Lineage: Bacteria; Pseudomonadati; Spirochaetota; Spirochaetia; Treponematales; Treponemataceae.